Molecule: long non-coding RNA, 1359 nt
Organism: Chelonus insularis
Lineage: Eukaryota; Metazoa; Arthropoda; Insecta; Hymenoptera; Braconidae
Exons: 3
Source: RefSeq, a predicted model, not a curated record
UUGUAUAAUUCGUGAAUAUUUAAAUAACUUUUGUCAAAUUACUUCAACGCGUCACCUGAUCUUUAUUCACUACUUUUGCGUAUACUUUUCGCAGUAUGUGGACCAUGAUAUAAACCCUCAGUCUUCAAACUGAAUUUACCAAAUCCUGAGCUAUUGGAUUUCGUAUUAAAGGGUGGUCUUCGAUCAACUCAAUAUCAAGGCCAGUAGAGUACAUGCGUGAUCGACAAUCACCCGACAAUUGACGUCUUUAUCUUGUCUUUAUUAAGAAGCAUGUUCUCAAGUUAGUGAGAUGAAUUAACGCUCCUGGGAUUUACUUUACAUGGCCUUUGGUUAUAAUCUUGCUUAUGGAUAUUUUUAAUCAUUUCUUAAGUACUUCUUCAGCUUUUUCUCCAUCUUCAUCAUUUCCUGAGGCAAAAUGACUUGUCACUAGUCGAUCAGCGUAACUAAGAAGGCGAAGAAAGAAAAUAAAAGAAGAAUAUGAAGAAGAAGAAGAAGAAGAGCCAAGUGGCAGAUGGCGGCAUGUAACAUUGAAAAAGAUACACAGGAGUUACAUUUCAUUCACGCUUGCCAUCAAAUUCGCGAUGAGGCAAAAAUCCAGAGUUGAUGUCAUGUUAAAUUUUUGCCUGAUGAAUCUGGCACGUGGUUUCUUCUUCCUUAUUAUACAUAUGUUCUAUCUCAACUUGUCUUGCUCAUAUUCCUAUAAGGAUGUAUACACCACAAAGACCCUUGUUGUUCCAUCUCCAAUCACUAAACUUAAGACCUCCUAAGGCUGUAACGAGCAAAUGUUGCUCUUAGUCUGACAAAAAAUUUCACAUGUCUUUUUGUUAUGUACCAUUCAAUAAAUUAAGGUAACUCUUCCGUAUGAGUUGGACAAAAAAAGUCAUCAAAUAAAUCUUUAUAUGAUCCUUUGACUGAUUUUACUACAAAAAAAAACUUACUGGUUGUUUGAAGGUCAUAAAUAAAAAUAAGGAAGUAUCAUUGACAACAAAUGACUGAACAAUGAGUAUAAACGAUUGACUAUAACAAUAGAUAAAAAAGGAAUUUUUUUUGCCAUUGAAAGUAAAUGGUUUAAACUAAAGUUGAUUACAUAUACAUGAAUACUGAUGCUCCAGAAUCUCUGAAGCUUAAUAAAAUUCUUUCCAAGUGUAUAUUUAAUCUCGAAGAACAUUAUCCCAUAAUUAUCACAAGUCAUUAAGUAAUUGCUGGAGCUGGAAUAUCGAUUAAUCGUUCAAGCGUGCAAGAGUGUCAUCAACCAUUAGCAUCUAGCUGUAGAAAUAUCUGUAAAUAUGUGAUAGCCGUAGUAUUUAUCAUUAAAAAUGAGCUUUUUAUUAUAAGAAAAUACCAUUUUUAACAUUCUUU